This 3860-nucleotide long non-coding RNA is filed under the name Lepisosteus oculatus (spotted gar). Its description in RNAcentral is "lncRNA (ENSLOCG00000022457.1)". The record is from RNAcentral. Lineage: Eukaryota; Metazoa; Chordata; Actinopteri; Semionotiformes; Lepisosteidae.
UUUCAACUUGAUUAUAUACCUGUAUUGACAGAAAGAACACUGGCUUUGGUGAAGGUAGAAUGUGAAUAUUAUUUUAUUAAUAUUAAUUAAUGGAGGGAGACUCUAGCAAGAACAGGUCUGAGAUCUGUCUGCUCUGAGACUAGUGUGCGCUCAUGGAGCAGUACUUGUGUAUUUUCUGUAUUAGGAAGUAUGGGAUUCUGCUGGUGGAGCUCUUGUGGAGGUGGAUAAGCCGACUGUUAGAUCUCUGCAGGAGGGAAUGAGGGGGCCGACAGUGUGCAAAGACUCGGGAAACCCUACAUUCUCCCUUGUGCUCGCAGGAGUUUUCUGUGUGGUUGCUGUAGGAGACUGGGAGAGAUGAAAGGAGAAGAGAGGAGACCCGGAGCUAUCUGGCUCUCCAGGUGCUGUGGAGGGCUAGGGACGCUGGGAUGAACAGCCGGUCUGCUCACCAGGACACCAGGAGCAGCACUCUGGGGGACCCCAGGCGAGAAAAGUGUUUUUACACCGGGAAUGUUUCUCCGCAAGUGCUGAGUACGUGUUUUCCGGGGCACUUAAAAGCCAUCUGCCCUGGAGGGCUGUAGCUUUUAAUAGUGCCUCUGGUGUGCAAGGCAUUCGAAGUUACAUCACAGGCAGGACACGUCCUGGAAUCUGAAGAUGCACUCAGUCACUCAGAAUUUGGCACGCGCUGUCUGUCUCCAGGUCUGCAUGGGGUGGGCCUCCUUCUGUGUGUGUGUGUGUGGUCCCAUAAGCGUUAAUGAUUGCACGGCAACCUCACCCACUCCACUCAUGGGAUCCCGCCACCUUCCUGGUGGAGAUGAACCUCAGUGGGGCGACUCGAGUAGCCCCAGGAGGAGGCAGCAGGAACUCAGAGUGCCCCACCCACAGCCCCACGAGCACAGGGGGCAACCUGUGAGCCCCGUACAGAGAGGCGCAAAAGGGUUUGGAUCAGCCACCUGGCUGCCCUCUGUGGUCACUGUCCUCAGUCGACUGAUCAGGGCCAAGGGGGAGUGAGCACGGUCAUCUAUACCCAUGAUCUCCCAGUGUUAAGGGCAGAUGUACGCUCAGAAGACUGGAGAUUUACACACAGAGCAGAAGAAUCACCUUCUUCGGGCAGUACAGGUGCCCCAGUGAAGUACGAGGAGGAAUAUCAGUUCUUUACAGCGACAAAUGCAAAAUUUUCUGUUAAAUCUUUGUGUCAUUGUGGUUAAUAUACAUGAGGAUAAUGUGGUUUGAGUCACCUUCAUUUUAAAUAAUUGAAUAUUACAGAAAAAAAAGAACUAAUCCGUAAAGCAGAUGUGCACUUACAGUUUUGUUAAAAAAAAACAUGAUAGGAGAGUUGAGAAAAAUCGGUCACUGAGACCGUUACAAUGCUGCUAAAUUUAAUUUGAGUUCUAUAGACACGGGUCUCACCUUCAUGUAGGAGAGCAUUAUUUUUUUUCUUCUGUUUUCCAUUUCAAUAUAGAGUCAAAGAUAAGAGUGAACAAGCUAGAAGGAUGCAUUUGUUUCAAAAUAUAAAAGACCGCAGAAAGAGCUCACAGAGAUGGGACCGUCACUAUUGUUACAAUUAUCAACACGCUGCUCAGGUGGAGACACCAUUAGGUGCACGUUUUUCAGUACGCUGUGUGAGAGGACAGUGUGUCUGCGUGGAACUUUACACAUUAAUCAUUCCAGUCACAGGUUACAGUAUCUACUCUUCUCACACACACACCCAGACACAGAAAAGUUUAUACUGUAUUACUGCAUAAGCCCAUCCAGUGUACCAGCACAGGCCAAUUGACAUACAAUAUACAAUACAUACAUUAAAACAACAACACAAAACAAGGCAAAAAAAAAACCCACAGGCUCACAUUAACACUCAUUUCGAUUAUCUACAAUAGCCAAAUGCUGUUCAAGAGCAGCCUCUGAUCUGUGUGUGCUGUGAGUGCGGCCUCUAGUGGCCACCCCAUUGUCAUGACACUCCUGAGUCCACUUCCACGCUUCACUACAGCCCCCAAUUAAGAACCACCAAUUACUGUCUCAGCCCUGCCCCCUUUCAAACUGUACCAAAACGGGCAGGGGGAGGGGUGGUGGCGGCCCUGGCAGUGCUCAGCAAGCCGUGACUUGAACCCCGGACGUCUGAAGGCAAAAGGCACUGAGAUUCUCAAACCGUGUGGAAUAACAGGACCUAUGUCGCUCCUAUAGAGGAGGAGGUAGACAGGCCAGACCUGCUUUGUCUGUGAAUGAAGGACAGUAAUUGGAAGAUUUUCUUAGUCGCCUGUGUGCCGAGAUGGAGAAGGCUCUGCUGUGGUCCCACCUUGUCAGGCAGGAACAUGGUGAUGGUCACAGACCCUGAGGUCCGCAGCGCUUGAGGUAGCAGGAUACAAACUUUCAGGGUUAGUCAUAACGUACCAAGAUGUGAGGCAUGUAAAUUACCCUGCUAGUGUAUUAAUAUUUAACACAGGUUAUGAGACAGAGCAAAGAUUUGACCCCCAGAGCUAUUCCACACAGUGCAUGAAUAACUAAUGCUCCUGAUUAUGUUAAUGAUCGCUACUGAGGAACGGCGAUGACCAGCGAGAUUCAGUGGCGCUGAUAGUGAACCCCUAAUAACACCAGAUUUGAAAAAAAUCUACAAAUCUGUCCUAAGCCUUCAUUUAUUUCAGAGAUAUUCACUGGGAAAAUGUCUUUAAGUGUGCAUAAGUGGUUGCGCGUGAGGCUUGUGGUACAGUAGCUCUGACCUGAUCCAAGCCCAGCUGUGAUGCAGUACAAACCCAUUUACGUUCUGCCAGAACGCUGGCCUUGCUCCAAAAAAAUAAAUGAUGUUGUAUGUUCGGGGAGACUGAUAAGAUGCCCAGUGAUGAACAUUUUCUCUCAUGGUCAUGGUUUUAGCCUGCAUUGGAGAGAAAAAUACUCAAAAAUAAAAUUGAUGUUAAGAGGACUGUGAGAAAAGACUAAUUGUGCCGAUGUGGCUUGUACAAGCUCUUGAGACCUGCUCUUCGAAAGCAAGGCUCCUCAAGGUCAGCGCUUCAUACAGCCUUAUCAACAUUACUGAUAUUGUCAAAAAUGGAGAUUCAGAGCAUCUGACACCAGCAGCUUUUAAUUCCUUCUCGGAGAUGCAGCCUUAUAAAGUUGGAACGAAUCUGACAGAAGAAAAACCUCAGCCGUAAGAAUUAACUUGGAAGAGCCUGGAUUUUAAAAGCUCGCGGUUGCAUUACUGAGGAGGUAAAUGUUUUCUUUUUAUCCUUUGAUAAAAGCAGGCAGGGAAGGCUAUCUUGGUGCAUGGAACAGUGAGAUAGGUUGAGCCUGCCUAUGUAUUCUGUACCCAUCAUCAAAGUUCCCUGCCCUCUUCCAUAAAGAAUUCCAACGAGACAAUUUUGCGCACAUUGAGAGAGCUGACAGGGAGUGUUAUUAAAGCGCUGGGUGCUGACCGCUCUCAAAGUUAUUAAAGUGCUGCGAGAUUGUGUCUGUGAUAGCCAGGCAGCGCAGAUGUCCUUCACACACAGGUACAUUACUGCAGGGACACGGCCGGGGGAGAGAGAGGGGAGUGCGACAGGGCCAGGCCAGGAGAAUGCAGGCAGUUCAUUCACUGUCGGGGAAAAUCAGGAUCAUUGCUCCUGUUCCAUUUCUCAUUACUCUCAUUAUCGUUGCUGGUGUGUUUAUUUCCAAGACAAAAAUAAGAAACAGCCCAAUUCUGUCUCUGAAUAAAACCGGCUCCCUUCUUAAACAGUCCUACUGUGCGGUGAAUUAAAGACUGAUCUGAUCUCUCUUCUGUGUAAUUGCAUGAGUUGGGUCACGUGUGUGUUAACAUCAUGUGUGCUAACUGCAUCUGAAGUGGUGUGUGCAUGCUAUUCAUUAACAUAUAUUGCAUUAUUACCCAUGCUCAUUAG